This 2312-nucleotide long non-coding RNA is filed under the name Homo sapiens (human). Its description in RNAcentral is "HSALNT0008700". Lineage: Eukaryota; Metazoa; Chordata; Mammalia; Primates; Hominidae. The record is from RNAcentral.
CCUAAAAAGGUGGCUGGAGCUAAAGGCAUAGUCUUUGACCUCUCCCAAAAUCAGUUAGCAUUUAGGCUCUUUUUCAUCACAUAUAAAAACCCAGCCCAGUUCAUGGCUCAUUUGGCAGCAACCCUGAGACGCUUUACAGCCCUAGACCCUGAAAGGUCAGAAGGCCGUCUUAUUCUCAAUAUGCAUUUUAUUACCCAAUCUGCUCCCGACAUGAAAUAAAGCUCCAAAAAUUAAAUUCCGGCCCUCAAACCCCACAACAGGACUUAAUUAACCUCACCUUCAAGGUGUACAAUAACAGAGUAGAGGCAGCCAAGUAGCAAUGUAUUUCUGAGUUGCAAUUCCUUGCCUCCACUGUGAGACAAACCCCAGCCACAUCUCCAGCACACAAGAACUCCAAACGCCUGAACCGCAGCUGCCAGGGGUUCCUCCAGAAACUUCCCCCAGGAGCUUGCUACAAGUGCCAGAAAUCUGGCCACUGGGACAAGGAAUGCCCACAGCUCGGGAUUCCUCCUAAGCUGCGUCCCAUCUGUGUGGGACCCCACUGAAAAUCGGACUGUUCAACUCACCUGGCAGCCACUUCCAGAGCCCCUGGAACUCUGGCCCAAGGCUCUCUGACUCCUUCCCAGAUCUUCUCAGCUUAGCAGCUGAAGACUGACACUGCCUGAUCGCCUCAGAAGCCUACAGGACCAUCACAGAUGCUCUAGAUAACUCUCACAGUGGAGGGAAUAUUCCAGCUGGGCUUCAUGGAGAGAACACAUGUAAGUGCUACAGCUGAGCUGCAUCUACAAGUCAUCCCAGUUCUGGUGGCAGACCCGUGAGUGAAGCCUCUGAUUCUGGCCCCCCCCCACAGAGGCAACCCCAACUGAGGCUUCACAGAAACCCUCCACCAUCCCUGUGCCCUGACUGAAUUCCUGACCCACAGAUUUCAUGGACGUAACAAAAUGGGUAUUUUGUACCAUUAGAACUGGAGUGGUUUGUUAUGCUGCAGUAGUAAUUGGAUAGUAAGUUUCAAUAUCUGAUAAAAGCAGGCCUUAAUCAUUAUUCCUUUUUUUCCCAGAAAUUUUCUGACUAUUCUUGUUAUCUUUUCAUAUACAUUUUUGAAACAUACUAUAGUCUCUGAAGUCCCUUUUCUACCACCACUACCAUCAUAUAUAUGUAUAUAUGUAAUAUAAUAUAUGUAAUUUUAUUAGGGUGGCUUAAAAAUUGUUUUCUCAUAAUAAUAAUGUUAGAUUUUCUGUUCAAAAACAGGGUACAUAUUUCUAUUUAUUAAAUAUUCUAAAAUGCCCCCACAAAAAUUUAAAAUUUUCAGUGAUAUAAGUCCUAUAUAUUAUUUGUUAAAGGCAUUCUUAAGUAUUUUACCUUUUUAAAAAUAGACUUUAUUUUUAGAGCAGUGUUAGAUUCACAGCAUAAUUGAGUGGAAGGAACAGAGAUUUCCCUUUCUCCCCUGCCCUAACACAUGCAUAGCCUCUCCCAUUGUCAACGUCCUUCGUCAGAAUGUUACAUUGGUUACACACAAUGAACCUACAUUGACACAUCCUUAUCACCCAGAGUCUAUGAUUUAUAUUAGGGUUCACUCUUGGUGUUGUAGAUUCUAAGGGUUUGAACAAAUGCAUAAUGACAUGUAUAAUGGUGGGGCCACAUAUUUUAUUUCAUUUUUUAAAAUUUAAUUUUUAAUUUAUGUGGGUACGUGGUAGGUGUAUCUAUUUAUGGGGUACAUGAGAUUCUUUGAUACAUGCAUGCAAUGUGUAAUAAUCACAUCAUGGUAAAUGGGGUAUCCAUCCCCUCAAACAUUUAUCCUUUGCAUUACAAACAUUCCAAUUAUACUUUUUUAGUUAUUUAAAAAUGUACAAUUAAAUUAGUACUGAUUGUAGUCACCCUGUUGUGCUGUCAAAUACUAGGUCUUAUUCAUUCUUUCUAACUAGUUUUUUGUACACUCCCCUACACCCCACUCCCCACUACCCUUCCCAGCUUCUGGUAAUCAUCUGUCUACUCUCUAUUUCCAUGAGUUCAGUUGUUUUAAUUUUUGGCUUCCACAAAUAAGUGAAAACAAGCAAAGUUUAUCUUUCUGUGCCUGGCUUAUUUCACACAACAUAAUGACUUCCAGUUCCAUCCAUGUUGUUGCAAAUGACAGAAUCUCAUUCUUCUUUAUGGCUGAAUAGUAUUCCAUUGUGUAUAUCUAUGACAUUUCGUUAUCCAUUCGUCUCUUGAUGGGCACUUAGGUUACUUCCAAAUCUUGGCUAUUGUGAAUAGUGCUACAAUAAACAUGGGAGUGCAAAUCUCUCUUUGAUAUCCUGCUUUCCCUUCUUUUGAGU